Non-coding RNA from Paramormyrops kingsleyae, 4001 nucleotides. Lineage: Eukaryota; Metazoa; Chordata; Actinopteri; Osteoglossiformes; Mormyridae. The record is from RefSeq and is a predicted model, not a curated record.
GGAGGCGGGGACACCACAACCGGCGCCGGCAGCUCCACGGCAAACGCCCCUCGGACGCGGUUCCUCGUUCCACUGCGAUAGAGGCGCGGAAGAGCGGUGAGUGGAUUUUACUGUUCUGCUUGGGAUUCGUGUUUCUCUCCUCAAUGCCCUCCCCACCCCCCACGGUGCCGGGGAAGAAAGGUGGGGGGAGAUCAUGGAGGCAGGGAAAAAUCAAAAGGAAAGCAGGUGGAGGGAUGGGAAAGUUUGAAGGCGUCGCUCGGGGUUAGACCAUGCCUACGAAACGCCUGGGGUGACGUUAGCUCACCGCUACACUGGACUUACUACCCAGCAACCGGGUUGGUAACUCGCCCAAACAGGGACACGGAAUACCCACGACCCUCUAUUUGAAGGAAUGCGACUUCUUUUUUGUGUCAGGAAGCUCAGUGCCACGUGCUCCCCCCCUCACCCGCUGCCAAUCCCUGCUGACAAGGCUACAGUCUUGACGGUGAUCUGAGCACCGUGCCAGUUUGAAGCUGACCUGUUUGCGAGGGGGACUGCUUCAGCCUUGUCCGUCUGCUACACACUGGAGCCAGACGAGGACUCACAGGAAUUACGGCGGGACGUGAGUUUGGAUGGGGGAGGGGAGUUUAACUCGGACUGCCGUCGUGGUGCAUGAAGCCUGGGCGGGGCCAGGGAUGUGUGUCAACGGUGAACCCUCGGCACUGGGGUAGUAACCCAGUUUCCUCCAGUGCAUCCACUGGGACCUGGUGGGUAUGCGUGUGGCAGGAGCGAGUCCAGGACCCCAAGCACGGCGCUGCUCGCUCUACGGCAGAAGGUGCCACAGACGGUUUGUGUCCUUCCCUCUCAGACCGACUCUCCAUCAGAAUAUCACGCUCAUAAUCACAGGGAGCUCCACGAUGCAUUCUGGAACAAUCCUUUUAAGUGUGGCGAUUUAAAAAAUAUAUAUAUAUAUAUAUGCCCUCUAUGUGCAACCCGUCACUCGACUUCUUUGCUCCGAACCGACCCGUUGCAGAAAUAUUGGAGUCUUUCACUCAUAACAACAUUAUCCGGGAUCUUCACAAGUGCCUAGAAUAGCAAGUGCGUUUCCAUCUCCUUCACCCCCACCCCCCAGGCUCUGGGCCUGGUAUCACGUUGAAAAGCAGGGUGGGGGGGAGGAGGGGGGUGGGGGGGAAGCAGUGUCGACUUGUGGAAUGUGUGGCGAGGGGGUAAAGAUUCAUUAGAGACCAACUGAAUAUUUCACGUCGCCAUGCAAAUAGUCAUUGAUCAGCUGCAGCCGGGACGAGACGUCUGGCCUCAAAAUAAACACCUGCAGUUACCAAACUAUGGAGAAAGAGGAAGGAAAGAGAAGGGGAGGGAGAAACAGGUUCGAUUCAGGAGCGCUCAGUGGAUACUCCCUCUCACGUGACCACUGGCCUCGUCACAAUGGCUUCCUGUUCCUGUACAAUCACUCCACCCCCCACCCCAAAAGGACAUCAGCAUUUUGACAUGUUGCCGAUGGAGUGGGCAAAAGUGCAGAGAGAGAGAGAGAGAGAAUGAGAGAGAGAGAGAGAGAGAGAGAGAGAGCGCGAGUGCAAGGGAGAGAGAAGUACUGGUUCCUUUUGAUGCCAUUCGGCCUGAAGGAUGCUCCUAUUCCCAGGACACCACAAGCAAGACUGUAGAGGACAAGGGUUUCUCCUUGGAGAAAAAGCUGGGGCGAAUGGAAAAAGGUGCAUGGAGACAGGAGAGCAGAAAAGGCUUUCUUUUGGGUAGCCGCGUUGAUUAGCUGUCCACUUGUUCUACAGAAGCUUCCAGAGGAAAGUGAGCUAUUAAAAGCACCGGCUGUUCCACAAUAUUGUAUCAUACGGCUGACAUUUCAAUCCUCCACCCCCCCCCCAACUAACCCUCAACUCUGGCCACUGUGUCCCACCCCGACUCCUAAAACUACCUCGUCAUUAUUUUCCUUUGACAUGCCGCAAACUGUAGAAUGACAGGUCGGAACAAUCGGGAAUAUGGACAAUGCAGAGGCUUGUUCGGAAGCCAGUGGGGGGAGGGGGGAGGACGGUGGUGCAGGGCGGUCAGGGUGAUCGUUAGCUGUUUGUCGUUGGGCCACGAAUGUGACUGCAAACAUUCCUGCCUUUGCCUCUCUCGCCUUUCCACUAAACCUCAAUAAUUCCACGCAAAGUUCCGCAUGCUUUUGCUACUUUAAGAGUAAGGAUAUGAGUAUACGGGACGCAGAGCGACCCCGCGCGCCAACUUGACCAUGUUGCGCGUGCAGUGUCAGGGUGUGGGGGCAUGUCCUUAUUGCAUGGCUAUUUGCUUAAGAUUCAGACUCAGGCCCGUUCCGCUUCCACCUUUUCACUGCGCCUAAUUUAAAUGCCGCCCGUUUACCGGAAUCCCCGUGUUUACAAUGAAACCGGCUGUUUGAACACAAACUUAUCAAACCCGAGGCUGCGGGGGCAGAAUUUUAAAGCGGGCGAUCCUGCACUGGCAAGAAUAAAUUUUAAAAAAUAUUAAUAAAUAAGUCAAAGACCUGGAAUAAAGAAGCAGAAAAGCAAAAAUUGGCCAGUAAAACAGGCAGAGGCGGCUUCACAUGUAGCUGACCCCCAUUCGACUGCACCCCACAUCUCGACACGGCGCUGUUCAGUUUACGCUAAGGAAUAUGGAGGGUGGCCUCAUUUGGCUGUAGCGCAGAGGGGCCACUGGGGGUCUGCGGAGAGGGACACCUGUCAGCCAGGGCCACAUAGACACUUCCACUCAUGUUCCUCACGCAAUUUGUCCUUGGAAGUGGGGGGGGGGGCUUGGCUUAAUCUGAGAGCCCACCUAUGCACCCCGCAUGCAGCCAGAAUGUCAAGUACAACAGAUGCUUAUAUUAUCCAAAAAAAAAAAAGAAAAAAAAGAAGCUCUGUUGUCCUGUUGCCCCCGACCCACUUUCAUCCCCCUCCUGCUUUCCCAUCAUGGAUGGGGGGGGGGAAGGAAUCCAGAAACACUAACAUCCUCCAACAGCUGACAAGCUGGCCCUUCCACCAAUGGCUGUGGGUGUGUGUGCGCGCGUUUGUGAGUGUGCAUGUCUGGGGGCGGGGGGGGGUGUCUUAAAAAUAUCCCCCGCAAGCGUUAAUGUCCUCCGCAGCAGAGUUGUUCCUUCACCGCCUCAAACAGGGGUUUCCAGCCGCACUGUAGUGAGCAGAGGGGAUACUGGGGAACGGCCCAUAAACAGUGGUGUACAGGAAGGGGGUUGGGGGCACACCAGAUGCCACCUCAUGCCCGCUGCUCCGCUCCCCCCCCCAGCGACGGCUUGCUAUCGAUCACACCCAGAGACGUCCCCUCUACUCUAGGGCUCGAGAAAACCACGAGUGCCCUGCGACAUUUAUCAACGUGCCUUUACUCAUGCGGCGACUGUGCUGCCCGUACGACAGAAGGUGGAUGAAUGCGCGAGAGGCGGAGGCAGGCUGGAGAGUGGGUGGAGGGCCGGGGAGGGGGGGGGCGACCGUGCACCUUCGGACGGUAAAGGUCUGCAGCACAUGCAUUCUGCAGGGGAGCAGCUUUUCUACAAAGAGAUGGUUCAGUAAAGAUGAGAUUAAUGCCCCCCCCCCCCCCAUCUCAGCCUGCUCCUCCACUCUGCAUUCUCCUGGGGGGAGUAAUGGAGGGAACCCCACGCUGCGCCCCCCCAUGUGGCAGGGGGCCCAGAGACCAGCGAUGCGCAAUGCUUUGCUAAAGCUGGUAAAAUGGAACCAAAUCACCUUUUCGAUGGAUUUGGUCCCCUUCAACCAGCUGUAGCUGCGCAUUGAUCACCACGGAAACCGGCCGUCGACAGCCAUCUUCCUCCGGCUCCUCCCGGGGAACUCCAGCACCCCGCAUCGAGGCACCUACUUGCUCCUGCCAUAAUCCUGCUGUCCCACGGCCCAGUCCCCGGGAAACGGGGCUGACGAAGGCCGGCUUUCUGCAGAGGCAGGGCCCACCCGCAUCAGCCCACUGCCCCACUCGGGACCUCGCCAUGAAUAAAGAUGGAUGGACUGAAAAACUCA